Equus quagga is the source of this 693-nucleotide long non-coding RNA. RefSeq lists it as uncharacterized. The transcript is spliced from 3 exons. NCBI's taxonomy places the organism in Eukaryota, Metazoa, Chordata, Mammalia, Perissodactyla, Equidae. The record is from RefSeq and is a predicted model, not a curated record.
GUUACGAAAUUUACAAUCAAGUCGAAGUGGAUUUUCAUCCUGGCUCUGUCGCUUGCUGGCUGCGUGCUCCCGGGAACUCGGGACCCCUGCCUCUCUUUGGCUACCGUGCAUAAAAUCCCGGAGAAAAUUAGUUAAAUAAUGAAGCGAGAAUAUGCAAUCAAGUGCAUGAUGUAUACACAAAGCAGGUGCUGGGUGAAUAUUUGUUGGAUUGAACUGGGCGUCCCCUUUUGCCAAAUUCUACACCUGGGAAAGCUCCCCAUUGGCGUUCUCCCUGUCCAUGGGCUCAUCAAAUGUCUUCUGUGACCUCCCUCUCGGGCCUUCUUUCUAGAGGCCAGAGCAACUCAUUGCAGGGCCUUUGAAGAGCCUUCUUUUUAAUUCGUCUCCAUGUACAGCAGGACUUAAUGGUUCCCAGGUGUGAACUUUGUGUGUGUUCCAGGUGUGUUCUUUGGCUUAUUAGAUUUCUAGACCAUGUCAAAUGUAUUGCCCGUCCUCCACUCUAUUUCAGUUUUCCACAGAGUUCUGUUGGAAGAGAAGUAUGACUUCCAGUUGCUAUUAAUGUUUAUCUUGGACAUUAACAUGAAACAACUUCCUCACUCUCUCCCAAAAGGAUUGAUUUUAUUUAGCAAACAAAUAACAUCAGGGAUCUCAAGUUCUUUGGGGAUGAAACAGAUUUCUGUUUCUUAUUCGGCCUUA